ACACUGGUGAUUCAGUGGUAGGAUUCUCGCCUCCCAUGCAGGAGACCCGGGUUCAAUUCCCGGCCAAUGCA
Transfer RNA from Loxodonta africana (African savanna elephant), 71 nucleotides. It matches the Rfam family "tRNA". From Rfam's summary of the family: Transfer RNA (tRNA) molecules are approximately 80 nucleotides in length. Their secondary structure includes four short double-helical elements and three loops (D, anti-codon, and T loops). NCBI's taxonomy places the organism in Eukaryota, Metazoa, Chordata, Mammalia, Proboscidea, Elephantidae. The record is from Rfam.